This 497-nucleotide ribosomal RNA is filed under the name uncultured bacterium. RNAcentral's name for it is "partial 16S ribosomal RNA". It matches the Rfam family "Bacterial small subunit ribosomal RNA", at positions 28 to 507 of the family's 1533-position model. The record is from RNAcentral.
GAUGAACGCUGGCGGCGUGCCUAAUACAUGCAAGUCGAGCGAACAGACGAGGAGCUUGCUCCUCUGACGUUAGCGGCGGACGGGUGAGUAACACGUGGAUAACCUACCUAUAAGACUGGGAUAACUUCGGGAAACCGGAGCUAAUACCGGAUAAUAUAUUGAACCGCAUGGUUCAAUAGUGAAAGACGGUUUUGCUGUCACUUAUAGAUGGAUCCGCGCCGCAUUAGCUAGUUGGUAAGGUAACGGCUUACCAAGGCAACGGUGCGUAGCCGACCUGAGAGGGUGAUCGGCCACACUGGAACUGAGACACGGUCCAGACUCUUACGGGAGGCAGCAGUAGGGAAUCUUCCGCAAUGGGCGAAAGCCUGACGGAGCAACGCCGCGUGAGUGAUGAAGGUCUUCGGAUCGUAAAACUCUGUUAUUAGGGAAGAACAAAUGUGUAAGUAACUAUGCACGUCUUGACGGUACCUAAUCAGAAAGCCACGGCUAACUACGUG